GGAGUUAGCCGGUGCUCCUUCUGUGAGUGAUGUCCUUCCUGCCGGCUAUUAACCCGCAGGCCUUCUUCCUCACUGAAAGUGCUUUACAACCCGAAGGCCUUCUUCACACACGCGGCAUGGCUGGAUCAGGGUUGCCCCCAUUGUCCAAUAUUCCCCACUGCUGCCUCCCGUAGGAGUCUGGGCCGUGUCUCAGUCCCAGUGUGGCUGAUCAUCCUCUCAGACCAGCUACGGAUCGUCGCCUUGGUGAGCCGUUACCUCACCAACCAGCUAAUCCGACAUAGGCUCAUACGAUAGCGCGAGGCCCGAAGGUCCCCCGCUUUCCCCCGUAGGGCGUAUGCGGUAUUAGCCUGGGUUUCCCCAGGUUAUCCCCCACUACCGGGCAGAUUCCUAUGCAUUACUCACCCGUCCGCCGCUCGCCACCAGGGAGCAAGCUCCCCGUGCUGCCGCUCGACUUGCAUGUGUUAGGCCUGCCGCCAGCGUUCAAUCUGAGCCAGGAUCAAACUCUGA
This 507-nucleotide ribosomal RNA is filed under the name uncultured bacterium. Its description in RNAcentral is "partial 16S ribosomal RNA". The record is from RNAcentral.